Molecule: long non-coding RNA, 850 nt
Organism: Ictalurus punctatus (channel catfish)
Lineage: Eukaryota; Metazoa; Chordata; Actinopteri; Siluriformes; Ictaluridae
Source: Ensembl
GUUGGGGUUAAGGAUUAGGGUUAGGGAUUAGGGUUGGCGGUUAUGGUUGGGGUUUAGGGUUAGGUUUAGGGAUUAGGGGUUAUGGUUAGGGAUUAGGGGUAAGGUUUUGGUAGUAGGGUACUGUUUUAGGAGGGUGAGGUUUAGGGAUUAAGGUUAGCGGUUAUGGUUGGGGUUUAGGGUUAGGUUUAGGGAUCGGGAUUAUGGUUAGGGAUUAGGGGUAAGGUUUUGGUAGUAGGGUACUGUUUUAGGAGGGUGAGGUUUAGGGAUUAAGGUUAGCGGUUAUGGUUGGGGUUUAGGGUUAGGUUUAGGGAUCGGGAUUAUGGUUAGGGAUUAGGAGUUAGGUUUAGGGAAUAGGGUAGGGUUUUAGGAGGGUAAGGUUUAGGGGUUAGGGAUUAGGGUUAGGGUUAGAGCUGGCAGCAAUGGCAGCAUGGUGUGUGAAUUCUGGCUCUGACAGUUCCUCAACCUCGACUACAUCAUUUGAGUUAAAGAUGGACUGUUUUUGAAUCCCGCAGUUAUUAUUUUUGUUUGUCCCUGCCUGAGAGAGUUUUUUUUGUAAUGGAUUUUGUUGGUUCUAUUAUCCAAAGUAUAAGCAAACUAGUAGCCUAAUUUAAACUAGCAUGACCCUGACCAGGCGUUCACUAAGGAUGAAUGAAAUGCAUUGCACAACGCCACACAUUCAUUUUAAUGAGCACGGACUUGAUUUUUUGCCGUGAGGGUAUAUCAUACCUGACAGCUUGGCUUUGUGUUGCAUCCUGCAGGAUCCCAGUCCUGAUACACACCUCUACUAGUCUCAACUCUGUGAAACUUUCUGGCAAGCUUUAAAACAUAAAAAUGAAGAAAAAAUACUCUG